UUUUAAAGUAAUAAGUGAUGUUAAAAGUUUACUUAAGGUUGAUAUAGAGGUGAGUGGAGGAAGUAGUGUGUUAGGUGAGAGAGUGAGAAUCAAGGGGUUGGGAGGAGCUCCAGAUGUUGCCUUCACUGUUUUAGUGAUCAGAUCAUAACAAACUUGUUGAUAUAUAAGCCAGCUUCAUCUACCUGCUGUUAUCAGGUGUGUCUCACCAGCCACUCAGCCAGACCUCUAACCAACCAACCAGCCAACCAACACCACCAUGAAGACCCCUGCCACUCUGACCUCCACCCUGCUGGUCUUCAUCUUGGUGAUCGCCCUCGCUGGACACGGGGUGUCGUCCUCCCCCCUCCCGCAGCCCAGCAACCGACAAGAACGCUUUUUUCUUCCGUUUAACUUCAACUUACCAAAAUUUACAACUACCACAGCUGCUCCUGCUGUCGUUGCUCCUGGCAUUACCAUCACGUUUGGCAAGAAAUAAUAAUAACAUGUAUUAUCCCGACAUCAUUUGUCUUGCCACCUCGGUAAAGAUGAAACAGUUAGUUGUUAGUAAUUUACCUGUUUGGUUCAGUUGUUUCCAUAGGUGUUAAUGGAGUGACGUCAGUGUGUGUAUGACUGAACAUUACAAGAGGCUGCUGCUGCCGUGUAGUAACUGGUACUGUAGGCGGGGUUGUUUACACUCCCACAAUUAUCUUAAUAAAACGUAUUGUAGUUAAAAGGAACAAAAUUAUUCAUUAUUCUUACGUCAA
This is a long non-coding RNA of Homarus americanus (American lobster), 743 nucleotides long. RefSeq lists it as uncharacterized. The transcript has 2 exons. Lineage: Eukaryota; Metazoa; Arthropoda; Malacostraca; Decapoda; Nephropidae. The record is from RefSeq and is a predicted model, not a curated record.